UUUGAUUUGAUUUGAUUUGAUUUGAUUUACACUGCAGCUAAGACUUAACAUGGUUUCUUCACCUCUUCCACCUCCACAGCAGCUACACUUCUCCCUCUAGUCUUUUCACUCAGUGGUUUGGGAGGAGCUGGUCUAUUGGCCAAUGGCCCUGUCGGCCUCCCUCUGAAAUUCCUGGCUGGGGAGCUGCUCUCCUCUGAGCCCAGGCCUGGUCCCCAGCUGGUGUCUGGGUCUGUAUUUAAAGGCAGCAACCUCAGCUAACAGUAGAAGUCUGAAGACAGGCUACAGGCUGACUAGACACACAGAUUUUAAUCUCCAUCCUGUCCUAUGAAAAGCGUGGAUCUCCAGAUGUGCUGAUGUUGGAAACUGUGAGAGGAAGCACCUGAAGGAAAACCCACAAGGACCCAGAAAGAACAUGCAAACUCCACAUGGGAAGGCCUUCAUAAGAACACCCAACAUUUCCCCCAUGAGCAGGACAGACUGGUGACAGCGGCAAGAAAACUGCCUUUUAACAUCUGCCAACUACCUGGAUCGGUUGGGUUGAGAGAGAGAUGUCAUGAUGUCAUCAUCAGGGUCUUUCCAGGCACUCACUUACAUGACUGUCAUACCACAAGAUGUUUGCGUGGAAGAUGAGAGCAGCCGAGCGUAGUGAGCCGACAGAAGCAGACAGAGAGGAAGAGGCGGGCAGGGAGGAAAAAAAAAGAGAUUCAGAGAGAAUGAGUGGGAGGUGGAGGAGGAGGAGGAGGGAGCCAGAGACUGGCAGACUUUUACUGUACACCUCCUUGGUACGUUUUCAAGGUGCAGAAUGACACUUCCUAUCACUAUAUCGAGGGAAGUGGAGCGUGUCAGCUCUUGUGCUCGCUCACCCCAUCUUGCACGCAGAGCGAUUACCACUGGCACACAUCCCCUCGUUGCCUCACCAGCACCAGUCCGCCUGCAAUUCACUGAAAUCAGCCAGCAAACCUGUGACUCAUCAUUUAGAGUAAUAGGCCUGUCCUGUAUUCGCCUCAGGAGUCUCACUGCUUGUAGGAGGCGUAAAGGAGCACGGGGCGAUGACUAAACAGAGCACCUCAUUACAGCGGAGAGGACAUCACAGAAAUCGUCUCACCUUUUCAUUAGGAUGAAUCAGAAAAGCAGAAGCUUAGGAUCAGCCAGGAGCGGCUGCAGACGUUUUAUAACCUGGAAGAUGUUUCAACUAGCAGAGCACAGUGAACAGGGAUACAUGUUACAAGCAGCCUUAAGGAAAGCAAAGAAUGAAAUGUACUUUGCGCCCUCUAAAUGAUAAAGGGUAAAAUCGCCCACAAAACAUAUAUUUUUCAACAAAAUAAGGACAUUUUAAAUAUUUUCAUCAAGAUUUUAUAGAUAUUCUCCCAGUACAUCUUUUUUUUCUGUGACCAAAAAUACAUCUGUCCUCUGCAGUGGAUGUUGUGCACCAAAGGAUAUAUUCUGCCAAGUGGUCCCAUAUUUAGACAAAAUGGGAAGAUUGCCAUUUAAUAAAUUCAUCCAAGUGUAAACUAGAAUGCCACUCGGUAAAGAACAUACCUCUGCCAAGGCCCAACGGUCCAUCUGAUCCAAUCAAGCCCAAUCCAGCAUCAAAUCUGCUAGAUCUGCAAAAAUCUCACAGUGUUGAGGUGACUGGUCUGUAUAUCUGGAUCCCCAACAAAAGCUAAUGCAGAGACCCAUCCUCCAUCCACAUUUGGUGAAAAUGAGCCUUUUCUGUGUAAUCCUGCUGCCGAACUAAGCAACAAACAAACAUGCAAGACAACAUUACCUCCCUGGUGGAAGUAAUCGUAAAACACAUCAAAAUAAGGCAAAAUCUGAAUAUUCAGAAUUUACCCCUUGGUGCAUAACACCUGAGCACUGUGGACAGAUGUAUUUUUAAAGAAGAAUAAGAAGAAUCUUCAUCAAUCUUCAAGAAAACAUCAAUACAAAAAACUGGUUAAUAGUAUUUCUAACACUGUUUUUAGUUACCCGUUGAAAUAAGAGGAUUCAACAGUUAUUCCAUGGACACUCCUUGAAUUUAUGAUGCUAGAUCUAAAAUAUGACAAAGACACACAGAAAAAAAAUCCACUAGAGUCGGGGGUCCAUUGGGACCUGGUACUUCACCUUUAAAUGGUUCAAAAUGGCUUCCAAGUAUCUGUCCACUGCAGUGGACAUCAUGCAUGAAACGGUUAGAUACAACUGGCAUUUCCUGGAGAUUUUGGCAAUAACGUCGUCUGCCGUCUCUUCAGGGUAAUGAAACUUGAUGUCACUCAGCCUUUAGUACCAAAAAAUACAUUUGAAAACCUCACCAGCGACGUCUCUUCCCGGAAGUUAUAAGUCACAUAAUUACAUAGUUGGCAUCAGUGAACAGGACGCUGUCUGAGAGUGAAGCGUCGAUCAGGAGGGCUGAUCGUCGCUGUGCUUGUUUUCAAGACAGUGACUACAACAACACAGUUGUGGAAAGAGGCAACACUUUGCGAGUUAAAGUGUUCUGCCGAGACAGAAGCUGUUUUUUGGGCAGAAGUGUGACGAAGAGUGGGUAGAACAUAUAAGUCAUACAAGUUACCAAAGACACUACCAGUUACUACAUUAGUGUUGUUUGGUCAUGUAAUGUUGCUUUUGACAUUUCUCUCAUUUCUCAGGCUGCCUUCGCCCCGCCGGCUUGUCCAUUCACACAGGUGCCAGUUCUGCCUCCAUAAGAGGUGCAGCGAAAUUUCACAGCUUGCCGCAUCUGAAACUUUCACUCAGUGGAGGAGGAUGCGUAGAAUCGGUGCAUGAUCCCACACUGAAAGGACAGCGUGAAUGAGGCUAAUGGAAGCUUAUGGGAGGAAGUCUUUUUGGGUUGGGCCACUCCCUAAAAUUUACUUCAAAUCCUGUCACUCUCCCUGGGUACUUCAAAUCCUGUCACUCUCCCUGGGGGCUUGAUUUACACCUGCUACUACUGGAAAUGUUCAUCUAUUCAUGGACAGGAAGCUUGUGUAAACACCAACAGUGUUCUCCUCAGCUGAGCUGUGAUGCUAGCUAGCUUAAUUAACUUAGCUAGCCGCUCAUCAAUGAGCAGAUACAUGUUUCCUUCCGCACGGUUUAAAUGUAAUAGCUCCACGUUGAAGCCGCUCACAACAACGUCUGUGGGUGAUGUUGAGCAACUGGGUCAACUGUUCCUUUUAAUAACUGUUUAUUUAGUUAAAGAGAGGUUGAACCGAGGCCCGGCUGAGAGGCUGUAUUGGCAGUUGCGUGCGCUCCAUAAAACCAUUGUUCCUUCAGCCCUGUGAUUUGCACUUAACUAACGGGGGUCGCGCUGCGUUGCCAUGACAACCCUUUCAGUAUAGAUGGCCUGUUUCUUUCCCGAUAGUCAGCACCAAUAGCAGGGCGCUGUGUGAUCAGCGGCUGGCCGGAACGUGAGGCGGCGUGUAGGGGAUGACAGACGGAGGUUCGCCCCUGGCUGCACUCACACCUCCAUCAGCUCCUUUGUACCUGCAUGUGUUUUUUUUUUCUCCCCCUCCAGCGUGUGCUGAGCUCGCCUUCAGCCCUGUUCGUCUCUUUGGCAACAACAAAGCCCUCGCUGUGUUGAUCUUUUCACUGUUGUCGUGUCAACACACGCACUGAAUGACUCUCCCCCCCCUCGUUUCCAGAGGCUGCCGUUCACAUGGCUCCUCGGCUUCGUGCUUGGGGGGGCGGUGAAACAGCAGCCGUCACCCCCGGCUCACAUAUCCGACACUGUGCUCAGAGGCUUUAAAGACCCUCCCGAGGUAAACACUCACAUGGUGGGGAGGCCGGUGUGCCUGAGCGGGAGGAUGAAACACUCUUGACAGCCUCCCCCUGCUUACCCCACCCCUCCUAACGCGUGUCUUUUUUUUUCUUUUUUCUUUUUUUCUUUUCCAGUGGAAGUAGAGAUAUCAAAAUACAAGUCUGCGCUCCAAAGAAGCUUCUAUGGGGCCUUUUUUUUUCUUUUCUACACGCUGGAACCUCCAGCUGUAAACGGCUCGCUCUCAGUUCCCGGAUCACAGAGCUCGUGUUGUUCCCGGGGUUUUUAAAAUCAGAGCAGGAGCACUGAGAGAACACUGAGCGCGUGCAUGUUUACACUUGUGUGAAAGGUGCAUUCACCCCCCACAAUCUGCUGUAACAUGACACUUUUAAUUUCAGAAAGAAAAAAAAAUAAAGGCGGAGUGGAAGGAGAGGUAGAGUGGUUUACACAAGUGUUUACAUUCAUUUCCUCCCCUCACACAUUCACAGCGAAGUGUUGUGGAGGGAGUGAUGAUGAGAUGUAUGAAUUAGAGUGCCGUGAUUCAUCUCCUCUCCUCAAGCACUCCAUGACAGCUCCCACCCCGUGAAGGCUGCCAGCUGCUCCUGCAAUACAUGUGUACAGGACCGUUACAGGUCUUCUCCUUAAAUAAAUAUCCUGCGUCCAUGACUCCUGUCUACAGCAGAUAG
Acanthopagrus latus (yellowfin seabream) is the source of this 4410-nucleotide long non-coding RNA. RefSeq lists it as uncharacterized. NCBI's taxonomy places the organism in Eukaryota, Metazoa, Chordata, Actinopteri, Spariformes, Sparidae. The transcript is spliced from 5 exons. The record is from RefSeq and is a predicted model, not a curated record.